RNAcentral lists this ribosomal RNA (576 nucleotides) under uncultured eukaryote. RNAcentral describes it as "SSU rRNA". It matches the Rfam family "Eukaryotic small subunit ribosomal RNA", at positions 203 to 786 of the family's 1831-position model. The record is from RNAcentral.
GCAUUUAUUAGAACAAAACCAAUUGGCUUCGGUCAUUAUUGGUGAAUCUGAAUAACUACGCUGAUCGCACGGUCUCGCACCGGCGACAUAUCCUUCAAGUGUCUGCCUUAUCAACUGUCGAUGGUAGUUUACAUGACUACCAUGGUUGUAACGGGUAACGGAGAAUAAGGGUUCGACUCCGGAGAGGGAGCCUGAGAAACGGCUACCACAUCCAAGGAAGGCAGCAGGCGCGCAAAUUACCCACUCUCAGCUCGAGGAGGUAGUGACGAAAAAUAACGAGACAGUUCUCUAUGAGGUCUGUCAUCGGAAUGGGUACAAUUUAAACCCUUUAACGAGGAUCUAUUGGAGGGCAAGUCUGGUGCCAGCAGCCGCGGUAAUUCCAGCUCCGAUAGCGUAUACAAAUACUGUUGCGGUUAAAAAGCUCGUAGUUGGAUCUGCGUUCGCAGACUCAGGUUCCCUUCUUGGGAUACUUGUUGUCUCGAACUACCUUGUUAGACGUCUAUUGGUGCUCUUCAUUGAGUGCCUUUAGUGUCUAGCUCAUUUACUUUGAAAAAAUUAGAGUGCUUAAAGCAGGCA